RNAcentral lists this ribosomal RNA (462 nucleotides) under uncultured bacterium. Its description in RNAcentral is "partial 16S ribosomal RNA". It matches the Rfam family "Bacterial small subunit ribosomal RNA", at positions 339 to 795 of the family's 1533-position model. The record is from RNAcentral.
CUACGGGGGGCACCAGUGGGGAAUAUUGCACAAUGGGCGCAAGCCUGAUGCAGCCAUGCCGCGUGUAUGAAGAAGGCCUUCGGGUUGUAAAGUACUUUCAGCGGGGAGGAAGGGAGUAAAGUUAAUACCUUUGCUCAUUGACGUUACCCGCAGAAGAAGCACCGGCUAACUCCGUGCCAGCAGCCGCGGUAAUACGGAGGGUGCAAGCGGUCUCGGAAUUACUGGGCGUAAAGCGCACGCAGGCGGUUUGUUAAGUCAGAUGUGAAAUCCCCGGGCUCAAUCUGGGAACUGCAUCUGUACUGGCAAGCUUGAGUCUCGUAGAGGUGGGUAGAAUUCCAGGUGUAGCGGUGAAAUGCGUAGAGAUCUGGAGGAAUACCGGUGGCGAAGGCGGCCCCCUGGACGAAGACUGACGCUCAGGUGCGAAAGCGUGGGGAGCAAACAGGAUUAGAUACCCGGGUAGUC